Molecule: ribosomal RNA, 921 nt
Filed under: uncultured bacterium
Lineage: Bacteria
Description: bacterial SSU rRNA
Rfam family: Bacterial small subunit ribosomal RNA
Source: RNAcentral
ACGCUAGCUACAGGCUUAACACAUGCAAGUCGAGGGGCAGCAUGGAAGAAGCUUGCUUCUUCUGAUGGCGACCGGCGCACGGGUGCGUAACGCGUAUCAAACCUGCCUCAUACUCGGGGAUAGCCUUGCGAAAGUAAGAUUAAUACCCGAUGUUGUUAUGUUGCCGCAUGGUGAUAUAACCAAAGAUUUAUCGGUAUGAGAUGGUGAUGCGUCCGAUUAGGUAGUAGGCGGGGUAACGGCCCACCUAGCCUUCGAUCGGUAGGGGUUCUGAGAGGAAGGUCCCCCACACUGGAACUGAGACACGGUCCAGACUCCUACGGGAGGCAGCAGUGAGGAAUAUUGGUCAAUGGACGGAAGUCUGAACCAGCCAAGUAGCGUGCAGGAUGACGGCCCUCCGGGUUGUAAACUGCUUUUAGUUGGGAAUAAAAAAGAGGACGUGUCCCCUAUUGUAUGUACCUUCAGAAAAAGGACCGGCUAAUUCCGUGCCAGCAGCCGCGGUAAUACGGAAGGUCCAGGCGUUAUCCGGAUUUAUUGGGUUUAAAGGGAGCGUAGGCGGAUUAUUAAGUCAGUGGUGAAAGACGGUGGCUCAACCAUCGUUAGCCAUUGAAACUGGUAGUCUUGAGUGCAGACAGGGAUGCUGGAACUCGUGGUGUAGCGGUGAAAUGCUUAGAUAUCACGAUGAACUCCGAUCGCGAAGGCAGGUGUCCGGGCUGCAACUGACGCUGAGGCUCGAAAGUGUGGGUAUCAAACAGGAUUAGAUACCCUGGUAGUCCACACAGUAAACGAUGUAUACUCGCGGUUUGCGAUACAAUGUAAGCCGCCAAGCGAAAGCAUUAAGUAUACCACCUGGGGAGUACGCCGGCAACGGUGAAACUCAAAGGAAUUGACGGGGGCCCGCACAAGCGGAGGAACAUGUGGUUU